GACGUAGGGUCCAAGCGUUUGUCCGGAUUUACUGGGCGUAAAGAGCGCGUAGGCGGUCCGUUAAGUGUGAAGUGAAAUCUCCAGAGCUCAACUCGGAAACUGCUUCGCAUACUGGCGGACUUUGAGGAAUGCAGAGGUGAAUAGAAUUCCCGGUGUAGCGGUGAAAUGCGUAGAUAUCGGGAGGAAUACCCAUGGCGAAGGCAGUUCACUGGGCAUUAUCUGACGCUGAGGCGCGAAAGCGUGGGGAGCAAACAGG
This 256-nucleotide ribosomal RNA is filed under the name uncultured bacterium. RNAcentral describes it as "partial 16S ribosomal RNA". It matches the Rfam family "Bacterial small subunit ribosomal RNA", at positions 524 to 776 of the family's 1533-position model. The record is from RNAcentral.